RNAcentral lists this ribosomal RNA (428 nucleotides) under uncultured bacterium. RNAcentral's name for it is "bacterial SSU rRNA". It matches the Rfam family "Bacterial small subunit ribosomal RNA", at positions 29 to 502 of the family's 1533-position model. The record is from RNAcentral.
AACGAACGCUGGCGGCAUGCCUAACACAUGCAAGUCGAACGAACCCUUCGGGGUUAGUGGCGCACGGGUGCGUAACGCGUGGGAACCUGCCUUUAGGUUCGGAAUAACUCAGAGAAAUUUGAGCUAAUACCGGAUAAUGUCUUCGGACCAAAGAUUUAUCGCCUUUAGAUGGGCCCGCGUUAGAUUAGGUAGUUGGUAGGGUAAUGGCCUACCAAGCCGACGAUCUAUAGCUGGUCUGAGAGGAUGAUCAGCCACACUGGGACUGAGACACGGCCCAGACUCCUNACGGGAGGCAGCAGUGGGGAAUAUUGGACAAUGGGCGAAAGCCUGAUCCAGCAAUGCCGCGUGAGUGAUGAAGGCCUUAGGGUUGUAAAGCUCUUUUACCAGGGAUGAUAAUGACAGUACCUGGAGAAUAAGCUCCGCUAACU